UACGGAGGGUGCGAGCGUUGUCCGGAAUCAUUGGGCGUAAAGCGCGCGUAGGCGGCCCGGUAAGUCCGCUCUGAAAGUCCAGGGCUCAACCCUGGAAAGCGGGUGGAUACUGCCGGGCUAGAAUCCGGAAGAGGCGAGUGGAAUUCCUGGUGUAGCGGUGGAAUGCGCAGAUAUCAGGAGGAACACCAAUAGCGAAGGCAGCUCGCUGGGACGGUAUUGACGCUAAGGCGCGAAAGCGUGGAGAGCAAACAGG
Molecule: ribosomal RNA, 253 nt
Filed under: uncultured bacterium
Lineage: Bacteria
Description: partial 16S ribosomal RNA
Rfam family: Bacterial small subunit ribosomal RNA
Source: RNAcentral